CAACCCUUAGCCUUGGCUCAUUUCCAUUUGCAAUUCACACUGUUCAGUCAAAUACACUCAGCAUAAUACAGAAUAUAUUAUAAUGUGAUCACAAUUCAUGAUUUACUCACAUACUAUCAUCCACUGGUACAUGUCAGCUCAAAAUGUCUUCCAUGGGGACAUAUACAUACUAGAUAUGAGUUCAGGUUAGAUCAGCAAGGCUGAGAUAUAUAAAAAGUACACUCCAAUGUCAGAUUAAUGCUGAAAAAAACUAUUAUGUCUUAAAUUCCCUGGAGACUUUCAUGUUAAGAUGAGCUCGCCACGUGAAUCAGACAAAUGUCCCUUCUGAAUAAUGAAAGCAAGGAGGAUCCUACCAGCCUUCCAUUGAAAGACACUAU
This 377-nucleotide long non-coding RNA is filed under the name Bos taurus (domestic cattle). Its description in RNAcentral is "long non-coding RNA NONBTAT004234". The record is from RNAcentral. Lineage: Eukaryota; Metazoa; Chordata; Mammalia; Artiodactyla; Bovidae.